GCCCGUGUAGUUUACCGGAUCAGAAUGCGAGGUUGCGGACCUUGCGGUCGGGGUUCAAUUCCCCGCACGGGCA
Molecule: transfer RNA, 73 nt
Filed under: Candidatus Woesearchaeota archaeon
Lineage: Archaea; Nanobdellati; Candidatus Woesearchaeota
Description: tRNA-Arg
Rfam family: tRNA
About the family: Transfer RNA (tRNA) molecules are approximately 80 nucleotides in length.
Source: RNAcentral